UACGAAGGGGGCUAGCGUUGCUCGGAAUCACUGGGCGUAAAGCGCACGUAGGCGGCUUUCUAAGUCAGGGGUGAAAUCCUGGAGCUCAACUCCAGAACUGCCUUUGAUACUGGAGAGCUUGAGUCCGGGAGAGGUGAGUGGAACUCCGAGUGUAGAGGUGAAAUUCGUAGAUAUUCGGAAGAACACCAGUGGCCGAAGGCGGCUCACUGGCCCCGGUACUGACGCUGAGGUGCGAAAGCGUGGGGAGCAAACAGGG
RNAcentral lists this ribosomal RNA (256 nucleotides) under uncultured bacterium. RNAcentral describes it as "partial 16S ribosomal RNA". It matches the Rfam family "Bacterial small subunit ribosomal RNA", at positions 524 to 777 of the family's 1533-position model. The record is from RNAcentral.